RNAcentral lists this long non-coding RNA (691 nucleotides) under Cyanistes caeruleus (blue tit). RNAcentral describes it as "lncRNA (ENSCCEG00000006497.1)". The record is from RNAcentral. Lineage: Eukaryota; Metazoa; Chordata; Aves; Passeriformes; Paridae.
CCGAGGCUGUUCCCACUCUGGUGAUUCAGUGUCAGGCUGGGAGCGAGGGAACCAGAGCCUGUUACCCGGAUCCCUCGACUUUUCCCAUCUCCACAUGGCUCUGCAGCAAAUCAAAGUGCAACAAAACAGCUUUGCAUCAUUUCUUCGAGGAGUCCUGGGCCCUGUAUGUUAUCUCCAGGGCAGGGAUUUUACCGUUCUGAAGGUUAAAAAGAGGGAAGCAGCUGUUCCCAUGCCUCAGGAGCACAAACACUUGAGAGGAAUCAGUGGGACAGCAGCGAGGGAGCGCUUGGGCUGCUGCCAAAGCUCCGGCAGCGAGCCCGGCUCGGAGCCUGUGAUCUGGGGAACCUCUGGAGCCUUUCGCAAGGCCAGUGUCACAGACAGGUACCCUGGGACACCAGGGAAAGGGGAAGAGCAUUUGCCUGGGCAGGAAGGCUGCGUCAGUGCCAGGAAUAGCAGCCCGCUGUCCCGUGACCCAGCUGUGCUGCUCAGAAAUGAGAUAAAGCUGUCGCUGCCAGCCUGGGGACAGCGCUGGGGACAGGGCUGGGGACAGCGAUGGGGACAGGGCUGGGGACAGAGAUGGGGACAGGGCUGGGGACAGCGCUGGGGACAGGGCUGGGGACAGGGCUGGGGACAGAGAUGGGGACAGGGCUGGGGACAGCGAUGGGGACAGCGAUGGGAAUAGCGAUGGGGA